GGACAGUCAGAAGGAUAAACAAAAUGACUUUUUAUUUUUUUUGGAGACAGAAUCUCACUCUGUCAACCAGGCUGGAGUGCAGUGGCGUGAUCUUGGCUCACUGCAAUCUCAGCCUCCCGGGUUCAAGUGAUUCUCCUGCCUCAGCCUCCCAAGUAGCUGAGAUUACAGGCAUAUGCAACCAUGCCCAGCUAACUUUUUUGUAUUUUUAGUAGAGACAGAGUUUCGCCAUGUUGGCCAGGCUGUUCUCGAACUCCUGACCUCAAGUGAUCUGCCCACCUCGGCCUCCAAAAGUGCUGGGAUUCUAGGCAUGAGCCACUGUGCCCGGCCUAAAGGAAAUGACUUCUGAGUACAGUUCUAAAGGAUGAGGAAUGAUUAGUAUGUGAGAAGAGGAAGGAGGAAGAUGUGCCAGGCAGAGGGGACAGCAUUUGCAAAGAUCGGGAUGGAGAUGUGCAAUCUAAGACUCAGAGAAGCUGGAGAAUUUUCCUAACGUCACACAGCAAAGGAAUGGAAGACUCAGGACAAGAAUACACGAUCCUCUCCUUCCAACAUGUCACCCAGCAGAACAAGAGAAGGAAUCACAAUUGGUCCAUGACAGUCACGGUCAUCUCAUUCCUCUUGCCAGUGGCAGGUGUAUGUGUGAGUUUGCAGCUCAAUCCUGGCCAAGGGGAUCCAAGGACUGCUGAAGAGGCAUGUCUGCACAUGUCACCUAGAACAUCUCCAGCCAUCAUGUGAUCUCUGGGGGAGGCAUUCCCAACUCUCUGAGAGAAGCAGACCAGAAAGAUGGAAAGAAAGCACCUGGCUCCAGGAUGAUGACAUUGAGCCGAUGAAUUAACCACCUUUGUGCUGCUCUAACCUUCAGAGUUCACCUUAACAUGAGAAAAUAAAACCCUUAUUGCUUAGCCACUGGGAUCUUCUUUUAUUUGCAGCCAAAAGUAUCUUAACUGAUAUAAUUAUCUCUCCCAUAUAGAAAUGGGGCCUUAUGUGUCCAAAUAGGCAAUGUACA
RNAcentral lists this long non-coding RNA (1003 nucleotides) under Homo sapiens (human). RNAcentral describes it as "HSALNT0370907". The record is from RNAcentral. Lineage: Eukaryota; Metazoa; Chordata; Mammalia; Primates; Hominidae.